GACGAACGCUGGCGGCGUGCCUAAUACAUGCAAGUCGAGCGGAAUGAAGAAGAAGCUUGCUUCUUCUGAUUUUAGCGGCGGACGGGUGAGUAACACGUGGGCAACCUACCUUGUAGAUUGGGAUAACUCCGGGAAACCGGGGCCAAUACCGAAUAAUCCAUUUUGCUUCAUGGCGAGAUGUUGAAAGACGGUUUCGGCUGUCACUACAAGAUGGGCCCGCGGCGCAUUAGCUAGUUGGUAGGGUAAUGGCCUACCAAGGCGACGAUGCGUAGCCGACCUGAGAGGGUGAUCGGCCACACUGGGACUGAGACACGGCCCAGACUCCUACGGGAGGCAGCAGUAGGGAAUCUUCCACAAUGGACGAAAGUCUGAUGGAGCAACGCCGCGUGAGUGAAGAAGGUUUUCGGAUCGUAAAACUCUGUUGUAAGGGAAGAACACGUACGAGAGUAACCUGCUCGUACCUUGACGGUACCUUAUUAGAAAGCCACGGCUAACUACGUG
RNAcentral lists this ribosomal RNA (501 nucleotides) under uncultured bacterium. RNAcentral describes it as "bacterial SSU rRNA". It matches the Rfam family "Bacterial small subunit ribosomal RNA", at positions 28 to 507 of the family's 1533-position model. The record is from RNAcentral.